GAUGAACGCUAGCUACAGGCUUAACACAUGCAAGUCGAGGGGUAACGAGAGGAAAGCUUGCUUUCCUUGUCGACGACCGGCGCACGGGUGAGUAACGCGUAUCCAACCUGCCCCCAACUAAGGAAUAACCUUGCGAAAGUAAGACUAAUACCUUAUAAUUUCCUCAGAUGUCAUCUGACGAGGAAUAAAGAUUUAUCGGUUGUGGAUGGGGAUGCGUCUGAUUAGCUUGUUGGCGGGGUAACGGCCCACCAAGGCAACGAUCAGUAGGGGUUCUGAGAGGAAGGUCCACCACAUGGGAACUGAGACACGGUCCAGACUCCUACGGGAGGCAGCAGUGAGGAAUAUUGGUCAAUGGGCGAAAGCCUGAACCAGCCAAGUAGCGUGCAGGAUGACGGCCCUAUGGGUUGUAAACUGCUUUUAUACAGGAAUAAAGUUAGCCACGUGUGGUUAUUUGUAGGUACUGUAUGAAUAAGGACCGGCUAAUUCCGUGCCAGCCGCCGCGGUAA
This 506-nucleotide ribosomal RNA is filed under the name uncultured bacterium. RNAcentral describes it as "partial 16S ribosomal RNA". It matches the Rfam family "Bacterial small subunit ribosomal RNA", at positions 28 to 523 of the family's 1533-position model. The record is from RNAcentral.